CUUCAACAAUUUAUGAAGCUCGCAUGCAUUUUAUGCACGUGCACACUUGCCAUCUUUAGCCAACUACGUGGCAAGGUUUCUUUGAUUCUGUCGAAGUCUAAGAAGCAUGAAGUUGGCAUGACUGGGAUAACCUUGGAGAUUAUUGAUGAUAUACACUGCCAUGUACUUUGUUAAUUGUUUUGUCCUUUUGGGAACUGUGUCUUUGUGUGUGUGUGUGUAUUUUUUCUUAAAAAGGUUGGUGUUGUGUGAUUUUUCAUUACCAAAAUGAUAUAAUUAUAUUAGUUCACUUAGUAAAAUACAAAUAGAGAGAAGUAAAUUUAUAACUUCAAAUUUACUUAUAGUUUAGGAUUUCCUCGACUUGAAUUCUCAAUUACAUUAUCUCUACUAUAUAAAAGAAACAGACUCCUAAGCUAUGACACAUCAACUAAAAUAUUUACAUCCAAUGAAAGUGCCACAUCACCAAAAUUUACAUAUCAUCAUCUAAUCCCAUGAAAUUUGUAUCAUUUCUCUUCUCUAACGUUCCACCUCCUAAAGGCAACCCAACAAUCCUAAAGGCAACCGUUCAGCAGCUCCGGCGUAACAACCACUUCGACUCUUGAAAGCCUUAUUUAAUACUAAAACAUUUCAAUGGCAGACACCUCUUCGAUUUCCUCAGCUCCAUCAUAUAUAUAUUCUUCGGGGUUUCCAAAACAAAGUUAUUAGCAUACCAUCAAAAUAAGAUGGUGUUCCAGAAAAAAAAAAUAUAUAUAUAUAGUAUAAUAAAAUCAAAGUUAUUAGCAUACCAUCAAAGUAAGAUGGUGUUCCAAAAACAUAAUAAUAAUAGAAAGAUUAAAUAUAUGACACAUGUACCACUAUUAGAAUUUGACUUACGAGUAAAAAAAUGUGAAUUUUGAACACGAGUGAGCUGCUCAAAUUGAAAGAUUAAAUAUAUGACACAUGUACCACAACUAUAUAACACCAAAAAAGUAUAAGAUAUCCUUCCUCUGCUCCAUUUAUAUACAAAAAUUAUGUAAGAGAAAAUAUAGUGUACGUUAUAAAUCAUUGAUUAUGUACACAAAAGAUUAUAAACUCAUUCUCCCUCCGUGAAUACUAAGCUCAAAAUUCAAAUAUUAAAACAUUACUUGAAAAUAAAUCUAAAAGUAGUAUUUAACUAAUAAUAUUUUAAACAAUAUCUCAAAAUAAGCUAACAAAGAAAUAAAAAGAAAAAUAUCUAAAAAUUAAGAUAUAAAUACUAAUUUAUCAAAAAUAGCUUCAAAAGACUCCAACAAAACAACAAAACAAUGUUAACAAGUUUUAUUAUACGGUGGAUUACAUGAGAAUCAAAUCUCCCAAACUAAAUAGAAAUGUUUUAAAAAUAACAAAUAAGAACAUUCAAUAAGAAAUUUAACUUGAUAUGGAAGCUUUUUGAAAAAGCAACAUGAAAAUGUUUAACUAACAGUUUUUUUUUUAAAACAUGUCUUAAAAAAUGUACAACUUUCAAAUAGCCAUAUUUAUAAAAAAAAAAAAACAGUAUAAAACAAACUAGAAAAGGAAAAUACUAUCUUAAAUUAGUU
Molecule: long non-coding RNA, 1553 nt
Organism: Brassica napus (rape)
Lineage: Eukaryota; Viridiplantae; Streptophyta; Magnoliopsida; Brassicales; Brassicaceae
Exons: 2
Source: RefSeq, a predicted model, not a curated record